UCCCUUGAGGACUAGUGGUUAGGCCACUGUGCUCUCACCGCUGCACGCUAGGUUCGAUUCCCAGCCAGGGAA
This 72-nucleotide transfer RNA is filed under the name Pangasianodon hypophthalmus (striped catfish). Its description in RNAcentral is "tRNA-Glu". The record is from RNAcentral. Lineage: Eukaryota; Metazoa; Chordata; Actinopteri; Siluriformes; Pangasiidae.